UAAACGACUCUCGGCAACGGAYAUCUCGGCUCACGCAUCGAUGAAGAACGUAGCAAAAUGCGAUACUUGGUGUGAAUUGCAGAAUCCCGUGAACCAUCGAGUUUUUGAACGCAAGUUGCGCCCGAAGCCAUUCGGCCGAGGGCACGUCUGCCUGGGCGUCACGC
RNAcentral lists this ribosomal RNA (164 nucleotides) under Centaurea delicatula. Its description in RNAcentral is "5.8S ribosomal RNA". It matches the Rfam family "5.8S ribosomal RNA". From Rfam's summary of the family: 5.8S ribosomal RNA (5.8S rRNA) is a component of the large subunit of the eukaryotic ribosome. The record is from RNAcentral. Lineage: Eukaryota; Viridiplantae; Streptophyta; Magnoliopsida; Asterales; Asteraceae.